Molecule: ribosomal RNA, 253 nt
Filed under: uncultured bacterium
Lineage: Bacteria
Description: partial 16S ribosomal RNA
Rfam family: Bacterial small subunit ribosomal RNA
Source: RNAcentral
UACGUAGGCAGCAAGCGUUGUUCGGAAUUACUGGGCGUAAAGGGCGUGUAGGCGGUCCGCUAAGUCUGAUGUGAAAGCCCGGGGCUCACCCCCGGAAGUGCAUUGGAAACUGGCGGACUCGAGUCCCGGAGAGGAGAGUGGAAUUCCUGGUGUAGCGGUGAAAUGCGUAGAUAUCAGGAGGAACACCGGUGGCGAAGGCGGCUCGCUGGGACGGUACUGACGCUGAGGCGCGAAAGCGUGGGGAGCGAACAGG